This is a non-coding RNA of Asticcacaulis sp. YBE204, 351 nucleotides long. It matches the Rfam family "Alphaproteobacteria transfer-messenger RNA". Rfam says of the family: Bacterial tmRNA, also known as 10Sa RNA or SsrA, is named for its dual tRNA and mRNA-like properties. The record is from Rfam. Lineage: Bacteria; Pseudomonadati; Pseudomonadota; Alphaproteobacteria; Caulobacterales; Caulobacteraceae.
CCUCUUUCUUAAUAACCGCAGAGCGCCUAUAUUCAGACUGUUCCUUCGGGAUCUAUGGGGAUAAACGCCCACGUAAUAAGCGGACUGGACCCGGGUGCGAUUCCCGGCGGCUCCACCAUCUCUCCCUUACGGGACAUCAUGGGGCCGAUCAGCAUCGACAGACGUGUAAAGGUGUAGCCUUCUCCAGGUUUGGGCCGCCUUGAUCAGCCCAAAAUUCUAGUUGCGAACGAUAACUUCGCUUCGGAUGUCGCUCUUGCUGCGUAAUGCGGCGGAGUAAAUCCACCUAAACUCCUGGGGAAUAAGCCCUCCAGGCGGGGCCCGAUGGGGGCCUGGCAACAGAACCCCAUCACU